This 158-nucleotide ribosomal RNA is filed under the name Leucophleps spinispora. RNAcentral describes it as "5.8S ribosomal RNA". It matches the Rfam family "5.8S ribosomal RNA". Rfam says of the family: 5.8S ribosomal RNA (5.8S rRNA) is a component of the large subunit of the eukaryotic ribosome. It is transcribed by RNA polymerase I as part of the 45S precursor that also contains 18S and 28S rRNA. Lineage: Eukaryota; Fungi; Basidiomycota; Agaricomycetes; Boletales; Leucogastraceae. The record is from RNAcentral.
CAACUUUCAACAACGGAUCUCUUGGCUCUCGCAUCGAUGAAGAACGCAGCGAAAUGCGAUAAGUAAUGUGAAUUGCAAAAUUCAGUGAAUCAUCGAAUCUUUGAACGCACCUUGCGCCUCUUGGUAUUCCGAGGGGCACGCCUGUUUGAGUAUCGUGA